This 366-nucleotide ribosomal RNA is filed under the name uncultured organism. RNAcentral's name for it is "bacterial SSU rRNA". It matches the Rfam family "Bacterial small subunit ribosomal RNA", at positions 526 to 896 of the family's 1533-position model. The record is from RNAcentral.
CGGAGGAUCCAAGCGUUAUCCGGAAUCAUUGGGUUUAAAGGGUCCGUAGGCGGUUUGGUAAGUCAGUGGUGAAAGCCCAUCGCUUAACGAUGGAACGGCCAUUGAUACUGCCAGACUUGAAUUACUGGGAAGUAACUAGAAUAUGUAGUGUAGCGGUGAAAUGCUUAGAUAUUACAUGGAAUACCAAUUGCGAAGGCAGGUUACUACCGGUGUAUUGACGCUGAUGGACGAAAGCGUGGGGAGCGAACAGGAUUAGAUACCCUGGUAGUCCACGCCGUAAAUGAUGGAUACUAGCUGUUGGGAGUAAUCUCAGUGGCUAAGCGAAAGUGAUAAGUAUCCCACCUGGGGAGUACGAACGCAAGUUUG